This 34-nucleotide transfer RNA is filed under the name Reissekia smilacina. RNAcentral's name for it is "transfer RNA-Phe". Lineage: Eukaryota; Viridiplantae; Streptophyta; Magnoliopsida; Rosales; Rhamnaceae. The record is from RNAcentral.
CGGGAUAGCUCAGCUGGUAGAGCAGCGACUGAAA